RNAcentral lists this ribosomal RNA (253 nucleotides) under uncultured bacterium. Its description in RNAcentral is "partial 16S ribosomal RNA". It matches the Rfam family "Bacterial small subunit ribosomal RNA", at positions 524 to 776 of the family's 1533-position model. The record is from RNAcentral.
UACGUAGGGCGCAAGCGUUGUCCGGAUUUAUUGGGCGUAAAGAGCUCGUAGGCGGUUUGUCGCGUCGGAUGUGAAAACCCGGAACUCAACUCCGGGCCUGCAUUCGAUACGGGCAGACUUGAGUACUGCAGGGGAGAAUGGAAUUCCUGGUGUAGCGGUGAAAUGCGCAGAUAUCAGGAGGAACACCGGUGGCGAAGGCGGUUCUCUGGGCCUUACCUGACACUGAGGAGCGAAAGCGUGGGGAGCGAACAGG